AACCUCGGGAAACUGAGGAUAAACCGCGAUAUGCCAUUAUGUCUGGAAUUGAUUUAUGGCUCAAAUCUAUAUGGCCCCUGGAUUGGACUGCGGCCGAUCAGGCUGUUGGUGAGGUAAUGGCCCACCAAACCUAAAACCGGUACGGGCUCUGAGAGGAGAAGCCCGGAGAUGGGCACUGAGACAAGGGCCCAGGCCCUAUGGGGCGCAGCAGGCGCGAAACCUCUGCAAUAAGCGAAAGCUUGACAGGGUUAUUCUGAGUGAUUUCCGCUAAGGAAGUCUUUUGGCACCUCUAAAAAUGGUGCAGAAUAAGGGGUGGGCAAGCCUGGUGUCAGCCGCCGCGGUAAUACCAGCACCCCGAGUGGUCGGGACGAUUAUUGGGCCUAAAGCAUCCGUAGCCGGUUCUACAAGUCUUCCGUUAAAUCCACCUGCUUAACAGAUGGGCUGCAGAGGAUACUAUAGAGCUAGGAGGCGGGAGAGGCAAGCGGUACUUAGUGGGUAGGGGUAAAAUCCGUUGAUCCACUGAAGACCACCAGUGGCGAAGGCGGCUUGCCAGAACGCGCUCGACGGUGAGGGAUGAAAGCUGGGGGAGCAAACCGGAUUAGAUACCCGGGUAGUCCCAGCUGUAAACGAUGCAGACUCGGUGAUGAAUAGGCUUCGUGCCUAUUCAGUGCCGCAGGGAAGCCGUUAAGUCUGCCGCCUGGGGAGUACGGUCGCAAGACUGAAACUUAA
RNAcentral lists this ribosomal RNA (729 nucleotides) under uncultured archaeon ST1-15. RNAcentral describes it as "bacterial SSU rRNA". It matches the Rfam family "Archaeal small subunit ribosomal RNA", at positions 128 to 859 of the family's 1478-position model. The record is from RNAcentral.